This 31-nucleotide non-coding RNA is filed under the name Mus musculus (house mouse). Lineage: Eukaryota; Metazoa; Chordata; Mammalia; Rodentia; Muridae. The record is from RNAcentral.
UGAAAGUCAAGAAAAAUGAAGACUGAAGUGU